GGCCAGGUAGCGCAGAGGUCGUCGCACCUCGACCUCAUCGAGGGAGACGCUGGUUCGAAUCCAGCCCUGGCCU
Molecule: transfer RNA, 73 nt
Filed under: Kibdelosporangium phytohabitans
Lineage: Bacteria; Bacillati; Actinomycetota; Actinomycetes; Pseudonocardiales; Pseudonocardiaceae
Description: Kibdelosporangium sp. KLBMP 1111 tRNA
Rfam family: tRNA
About the family: Transfer RNA (tRNA) molecules are approximately 80 nucleotides in length. Their secondary structure includes four short double-helical elements and three loops (D, anti-codon, and T loops). Further hydrogen bonds mediate the characteristic L-shaped molecular structure. tRNAs have two regions of fundamental functional importance: the anti-codon, which is responsible for specific mRNA codon recognition, and the 3' end, to which the tRNAs corresponding amino acid is attached (by aminoacyl-tRNA synthetases). tRNAs cope with the degeneracy of the genetic code in two manners: having more than one tRNA (with a specific anti-codon) for a particular amino acid; and 'wobble' base-pairing, i.e. permitting non-standard base-pairing at the 3rd anti-codon position.
Source: Rfam by way of RNAcentral